UACUCAGUUCGGAUUGAAGGCUGAAAUUCGCCUUCAUGAAGCUGGAAUUGCUAGUAAUGGCAGGUCAGCAUACUGCCGUGAAUACGUUCCCGGGCCUUGUACACACCGCCCGUCAAGCCAUGAAAGCCGGGGGGUACCUGAAGUACGUAACCGCAAGGAUCGUCCUAGGGUAAAACUGGUAAUUGGGGCUAAGUCGUAACAAGGUAGC
This 208-nucleotide ribosomal RNA is filed under the name uncultured bacterium. RNAcentral describes it as "partial 16S ribosomal RNA". It matches the Rfam family "Bacterial small subunit ribosomal RNA", at positions 1285 to 1500 of the family's 1533-position model. The record is from RNAcentral.